Folsomia candida is the source of this 549-nucleotide long non-coding RNA. RefSeq lists it as uncharacterized. The transcript has 2 exons. Lineage: Eukaryota; Metazoa; Arthropoda; Collembola; Entomobryomorpha; Isotomidae. The record is from RefSeq and is a predicted model, not a curated record.
AUCACUACCGUCUACAUGCACUCCUAUCUUCCUCCGCAAGUUGUUCGCACUGGAAACUUAUCCAGAAUCAUUCGAUUCCAAGUCCAAUGUCAAGUUUUCCACACAAUUUUAGCUGAUAGACAGGGUGUGCAGAUUCUAGCAAGUGCAGAGUGAAAGUGACGUGGACGUGUACAAGUAAUUAAUUGUCCAAUCCAAUUGAAUGUGCUUUCUCCCAAAAUAAUAUUUUGUCAAACCUUGUCACUCAUUGUUUAUUGCUGUUAUCAGGGAACUUAUUCUUAUUAUUUACGGAAUAUUAUAAUAAUGAUCUACGUGGCCCCUUUGCGCUUGAGGAACGAAAAUAAUGGAUGAUGCCCUUGAGGAGCCAAUAUUCCGCUGGACACUACUGCCUCUACUGGAUGACCUAUCUUCUGACGAUGCUCGACUAGAUCUGCCUCUUCCACGACUCAGGACAGAUUCAAUAGAUUCAUUAUCAUCUUCAGUUUCUUCCACCAAAGUGGCUGUAAUAAAUGAAAUGGAUUGUAUUAUAAAUAAAAACAUAAAAAACUCGAA